CCAAGACUGCACUCAAGCCUUCCCUGAUGAUGUCUGUUCAUCCUUCAGUGUUAAUACCUUGUUACUUCUGUGUCAUCUCUUGCAGACACUGAACGGGCAGUGGAAAUUCUGACCAGAUACCAAAGCACCCUGCAGUCCCCAGAGGAGCAGGAGCUGAAGGCCUCCAUUGGAAAAGUCUCACACAUCUUCCAAAGUGAACUCUUCCAGGCUCUGCUGGAUAUCCAUGAAUUCUACGAUUUCACACUGCGCUCUGCACCCCUGCAGCCUCCCAGCCCAGAUGCAUGUUGUGGCACAGCCAGGCAGCAGCAUGGGGCCAGUGAGCCCAGCUCCGUGGCCACACCCAGAGAGCCCCAAAACCUACCUGAGAAUCCAUCCUGGGAUGGUGAGCGGACACUUUCUGCAGGGGCUGGGGACAGCACACCAGGGACACCGCCACGGCUGGUGAGGGUGACAGCACGGAGGACGGAGGCACCGGCCAGCGUCUGCAGCCUGGUGCUUGGCUCUCGCAGCGCCCUGCCCCAGGACUUCAUGGGAGAGGAAGGAAGCGACAACAGGGGCUGAAAUGCCAGCAACACCAGAUAAAACCUAGCUCCAUGCCCCCCUCAUGCCAUGUAAAUAGCACCAUUUCCAGGGGUUUCUUGACACUUUGCUGAAAUUAGCACCUGUAAAAAGAACAGCUGCCAAAGCUGAAUUUAAAUAAGAUGGGCAGGCUUCUGGUAGGAAGAGGGUACAGGAUGAGAGCACUCUUGGUUUCCUUUGAGUCGCUUCCCUCCAUGAAGACACCUGUCUGGAAAUCAUCUCCCAGCUCCUUUAGCCCUGCUCAAUGCCCUUGUCACUGGGGCGAGAUGCCCACAGCUGCUUGAAGGUGCUGGGCACUGUGCCUGCCCUGCCAGACCCAGGUCUGGGCACCCCAGUGCAGGUGCCUGCACUCUUUGGGCUCCGGCAGUGCCACUCCCAGUAGCCAAAACACUGCUACUCACUGAAGCAAGCUGGAAAAGUGCAGGAUGCAGAUGCCCCUGGCCAGCCAGCCCUGGCCUCCUCUUGAGCUCAGUAAUGUCUCCCAAGUCCCAUGCAGCAUUAGGGAUCAUUGCAAGCAGGUGGCAGCAACCAGGGAAUUUUUUUUUCCUUUUAAUUGGGACUAGCAGGUGACACAUGCAGUUCUCUACAAAUGACUAGGAAUUAAACAAGUCUCAUGGCAGCUAAAAUGGGACGUGCAGGUUUUCAGGAGGGGAGCUGUGAGCAGGUAGAGAAGGACUCCAUCAGAGUUGCAGUGGCUGUGGCUCAAGGCCCCUCCACUUGCAGGUGGUGAUGAGGCACUAACAGAUAAGAGAGCUGGGGGAAUCGGCUGAAGGGUUUAGAUAGUGGGGCCACCCCUGAGUUUGCAAGUUGGCAAAUGGAGUGGGGUGGAGGCAGCAAUGCUGGCACGCCAGGGCUGGCGGCAAGGCUGUUCCCCUGGGGGGUGCCCAUUGCAUGGCUGCCCCAUCUGCGGGGCUGCCGGAGACCGAGCAGGGAGAGGACCAGACCGACCUUGUGGAGUAUACACUCCAGCCUGCCAUGGGGG
This 1561-nucleotide long non-coding RNA is filed under the name Athene cunicularia (burrowing owl). RNAcentral's name for it is "lncRNA (ENSACUG00000007751.1)". The record is from RNAcentral. Lineage: Eukaryota; Metazoa; Chordata; Aves; Strigiformes; Strigidae.